UACGUAGGUGGCAAGCGUUGUCCGGAUUUAUUGGGUUUAAAGGGUGCGUAGGCGGUUUUCUAAGUCAGCAGUGAAAUACGGCAGCUCAACUGUCGAGGUGCUGUUGAUACUGGGGAACUUGAGUACUGAUGAGGUAGGCGGAAUGGACGGUGUAGCGGUGAAAUGCUUAGAGAUCGUCCAGAACACCGAUAGCGGAGGCAGCUUACUAAGGAGUAACUGACGCUGAGGCACGAAAGUGUGGGGAUCAAACAGG
This 253-nucleotide ribosomal RNA is filed under the name uncultured bacterium. RNAcentral describes it as "partial 16S ribosomal RNA". It matches the Rfam family "Bacterial small subunit ribosomal RNA", at positions 524 to 776 of the family's 1533-position model. The record is from RNAcentral.